UGGGGAAUAUUGCGCAAUGGGGGAAACCCUGACGCAGCAACGCCGCGUGAAGGAUGAAGGCUUUCGGGUUGUAAACUUCUUUGAUCGGGGACGAAGAUGACGGUACCCGGGGAACAAGCCACGGCUAACUACGUGCCAGCAGCCGCGGUAAUACGUAGGUGGCGAGCGUUGUCCGGAAUUACUGGGCGUAAAGGGCGUGUAGGCGGCCUUUUAAGUCAGAUGUGAAAUCUCAGGGCUUAACCCUGAAACUGCAUUUGAAACUGGAGGGCUUGAGGAUCGGAGAGGGCAGUGGAAUUCCCAGUGUAGCGGUGAAAUGCGUAGAUAUUGGGAGGAACACCAGUGGCGAAGGCGACUGCCUGGACGACACCUGACGCUGAGGCGCGAAAGCUAGGGGAGCGAACGGG
Molecule: ribosomal RNA, 404 nt
Filed under: uncultured prokaryote
Description: bacterial SSU rRNA
Rfam family: Bacterial small subunit ribosomal RNA
Source: RNAcentral